CCUACGGGGGGCACCAGUGGGGAAUAUUGCACAAUGGGCGCAAGCCUGAUGCAGCUAUGCCGCGUGUGUGAAGAAGGCCUUCGGGUUGUAAAGCACUUUCAGCAAGGAGGAAGGUGGUGAACUUAAUACGUUCAUCAAUUGACGUUACUCGCAGAAAAAGCACCGGCUAACUCCGUGCCAGCAGCCGCGGUAAUACGGAGGGUGCAAGCGUUAAUCGGAAUUACUGGGCGUAAAGCGCACGCAGGCGGUUUGUUAAGUCAGAUGUGAAAUCCCCGGGCUCAACCUGGGAACUGCAUUUGAAGCUGGCAAGCUAGAGUCUCGUAGAGGGGGGCAGAAUUCCAGGUGUAGCGGUGAAAUGCGUAGAGAUCUGGAGGAAUACCGGUGGCGAAGGCGGCCCCCUGGACGAAGACUGACGCUCAGGUGCGAAAGCGUGGGGAGCAAACAGGAUUAGAUACCCGCGUAGUC
This 465-nucleotide ribosomal RNA is filed under the name uncultured bacterium. RNAcentral's name for it is "bacterial SSU rRNA". It matches the Rfam family "Bacterial small subunit ribosomal RNA", at positions 338 to 795 of the family's 1533-position model. The record is from RNAcentral.